This 232-nucleotide ribosomal RNA is filed under the name uncultured bacterium. RNAcentral's name for it is "partial 16S ribosomal RNA". It matches the Rfam family "Bacterial small subunit ribosomal RNA", at positions 103 to 334 of the family's 1533-position model. The record is from RNAcentral.
CCGGGUGCGUAACGCGUAUGCAACCUGCCGUCUACUCUUGGACAGCCUUCUGAAAGGAAGAUUAAUACAAGAUGGCAUCAUGAGUCCGCAUGUUCACAUGAUUAAAGGUAUUCCGGUAGACGAUGGGGAUGCGUUCCAUUAGAUAGUAGGCGGGGUAACGGCCCACCUAGUCUUCGAUGGAUAGGGGUUCUGAGAGGAAGGUCCCCCACAUUGGAACUGAGACACGGUCCAA